Molecule: ribosomal RNA, 253 nt
Filed under: uncultured bacterium
Lineage: Bacteria
Description: partial 16S ribosomal RNA
Rfam family: Bacterial small subunit ribosomal RNA
Source: RNAcentral
UACGGGGGGGGUAAGCGUUGUUCGGAAUUACUGGGCGUAAAGGACUCGUAGGCGGCCAACUAAGUCAUACGUGAAAUCCCUCAGCUUAACUGGGGAACUGCGUGUGAUACUGGAUGGCUUGGAUUUGGGAGAGGGAUGCGGAAUUCCAGGUGUAGCGGUGAAAUGCGUAGAUAUCUGGAGGAACACCGGUGGCGAAGGCGGCAUCCUGGACCAAUAUUGACGCUGAGGAGCGAAAGCCAGGGGAGCAAACGGG